GACGAACGCUGGCGGCAUGCUUAACACAUGCAAGUCGAACGAUGAACCACUUCGGUGGGGAUUAGUGGCGAACGGGUGAGUAACACGUGGGCAAUCUGCCCUUCACUCUGGGACAAGCCCUGGAAACGGGGUCUAAUACCGGAUACAACACUCUCGGGCAUCCGAUGAGUGUGGAGAGCUCCGGCGGUGAAGGAUGAGCC
Molecule: ribosomal RNA, 200 nt
Filed under: uncultured bacterium
Lineage: Bacteria
Description: partial 16S ribosomal RNA
Rfam family: Bacterial small subunit ribosomal RNA
Source: RNAcentral